RNAcentral lists this ribosomal RNA (25 nucleotides) under Savalia sp. FS-2007. RNAcentral describes it as "partial 18S ribosomal RNA". The record is from RNAcentral. Lineage: Eukaryota; Metazoa; Cnidaria; Anthozoa; Zoantharia; Parazoanthidae.
UGACCUGCGGAGGAUCAUUAUCGUU